Molecule: ribosomal RNA, 433 nt
Filed under: uncultured bacterium
Lineage: Bacteria
Description: partial 16S ribosomal RNA
Rfam family: Bacterial small subunit ribosomal RNA
Source: RNAcentral
AACGAACGCUGGCGGCAUGCCUAACACAUGCAAGUCGAACGAGACCUUCGGGCCUAGUGGCGCACGGGUGCGUAACGCGGGGGAACCUGCCCUUAGGUUCGGAAUAACUCCCCGAAAGGGGUGCUAAUACCGGAUAAUGUCUUCGGACCAAAGAUUUAUCGCCUUUGGAUGGGCCCGCGUUGGAUUAGCUAGUUGUUAGGGUAAAAGCCUACCAAGGCGACGAUCCAUAGCUGGUCUGAGAGGAUGAUCAGCCACACUGGGACUGAGACACGGCCCAGACUCCUACGGGAGGCAGCAGUGGGGGAUAUUGGAAAAUGGGCGAAAGGCUGAUCCAGCAAUGCCGCGUGAGUGAUGAAGGCCUUAGGGUUGUAAAGCUCUUUUACCCGGGAUGAUAAUGACAGUACCGGGAGAAUAAGCUCCGGCUAACUCCGUG